AGAGUUUGAUCCUGGCUCAGGAUGAACGCUAGCGGCAGGCCUAAUACAUGCAAGUCGAGGGGCAGCGCAGUGUAGCAAUACAUGGGCGGCGACCGGCAAACGGGUGCGGAACACGUACGCAACCUUCCUUCAAGCGGGGAAUAGCCCAGAGAAAUUUGGAUUAAUACCCCAUAAGAAUGUAGAGAGGCAUCUCUCAGCAUUUAAAGAUUUAUCACUUGAAGAUGGGCGUGCGUCUGAUUAGGUAGUUGGUGAGGUAACGGCUCACCAAGCCGANNGAUCAGUAAUCUGGCGUGAGAGCGCGACCAGUCACACGGGCACUGAGACACGGGCCCGACUCCUACGGGAGGCAGCAGUAAGGAAUAUUGGUCAAUGGACGGAAGUCUGAACCAGCCAUGCCGCGUGGAGGAUGACGGCCUUCUGGGUUGUAAACUGCU
This 434-nucleotide ribosomal RNA is filed under the name uncultured bacterium. RNAcentral describes it as "bacterial SSU rRNA". It matches the Rfam family "Bacterial small subunit ribosomal RNA", at positions 8 to 434 of the family's 1533-position model. The record is from RNAcentral.